Molecule: ribosomal RNA, 223 nt
Filed under: Aerococcus urinae
Lineage: Bacteria; Bacillati; Bacillota; Bacilli; Lactobacillales; Aerococcaceae
Description: partial 16S ribosomal RNA
Rfam family: Bacterial small subunit ribosomal RNA
Source: RNAcentral
CUUGCACUUCUGACGUUAGCGGCGGACGGGUGAGUAACACGUAAGGAACCUACCGAUAAGCGGGGGACAACAUCCGGAAACGGGUGCUAAUACCGCAUAGGAAAGGUCACCACAUGGUGACCUUUGGAAAGACGGCUUUGCUGUCACUUAUCGAUGGCCUUGCGGUGCAUUAGCUCGUUGGUGGGGUAACGGCCUACCAAGGCAAUGAUGCAUAGCCGACCUG